RNAcentral lists this ribosomal RNA (1427 nucleotides) under metagenome. RNAcentral's name for it is "bacterial LSU rRNA". It matches the Rfam family "Bacterial large subunit ribosomal RNA", at positions 1340 to 2895 of the family's 2925-position model. The record is from RNAcentral.
CCAGUCCAAGGGUUCCUGCUUAAAGCUAAUCUGAGCAGGGUGAGCCGGCCCCUAAGGCGAGGCCGAAAGGCGUAGUCGAUGGGAACCAGGUUAAUAUUCCUGGGCCAGGAGGAUGUGACGGAUCUCAGGUGUAGUUCGGUCUUAUCGGAUUGACCGGGCUGCUGAGAGGUCCCUGGAAAUAACCCUCCAUCAGACCGUACCCUAAACCGACACAGGUGGACUGGUAGAGCAUACCAAGGCGCUUGAGAGAAUCACGUUUAAGGAACUCGGCAAAAUGCCUCCGUAAGUUCGCGAGAAGGAGGCCCGGUUCGUGGGCAACCAUGGGCCGGGGGCACAAACCAGGGGGUAGCGACUGUUUACUAAAAACACAGGGCUGUGCGAAGCCGUAAGGCGACGUAUACAGUCUGACGCCUGCCCGGUGCUGGAAGGUUAAAGGGAGGGGUGCAAGCUCUGAACUGAAGCCCCAGUAAACGGCGGCCGUAACAAUAACGGUCCUAAGGUAGCGAAAUUCCUUGUCGGGUAAGUUCCGACCUGCACGAAUGGCGUAACGACUUCCCCGCUGUCUCAAACGUGGACUCAGCGAAAUUGAACUGUGUGUCAAGAUGCACACUACCCGCGGUUAGACGGAAAGACCCCCUGCACCUUUACUCCAGCUUUGCACUGGCAUCAGGAUUGUGAUGUGCAGGAUAGGUGGUAGGCAUCGAAACCGGGACGCCAGUCUCGGUGGAGCCUCCCUCGAGAUACCACCCUUCGCACUCUUGAUGUCUAACCGCGGCCCGUCAUCCGGGUCCGGGACCAUGCAUGGUGGGGAGUUUGACUGGGGCGGUCGCCUCCCAAAUCGUAACGGAGGCGCGCGAAGGUUGGCUCAGACCGGUCGGAAAUCGGUCGUUGAGUGCAAUGGCAUAAGCCUGCCUGACUGCAAGACUGACACGUCGAGCAGAGACGAAAGUCGGCCAUAGUGAUCCGGUGGUCCCACGUGGGUGGGCCAUCGCUCAACGGAUAAAAGGUACGCUGGGGAUAACAGGCUGAUGAUGCCCAAGAGUCCAUAUCGACGGCAUCGUUUGGCACCUCGAUGUCGGCUCAUCUCAUCCUGGGGCUGAAGUCGGUCCCAAGGGUAUGGCUGUUCGCCAUUUAAAGAGGUACGUGAGCUGGGUUUAGAACGUCGUGAGACAGUUCGGUCCCUAUCUGCCGUGGGUGUAGGAGACUUGAGAAGAGUUGCCCCUAGUACGAGAGGACCGGGGUGAACGGACCACUGGUGGACCAGUUAUCGUGCCAACGGUAGUGCUGGGUAGCUAUGUUCGGACAGGAUAAACGCUGAAGGCAUCUAAGCGUGAAGCCCCCUUCAAAACAAGGUCUCCCUUGAGGGCCGUGGUAGACCACCACGUCGAUAGGCCGGAGAUGUACGUGCAGCAAUGCACUCAGUUGAC